RNAcentral lists this ribosomal RNA (266 nucleotides) under uncultured bacterium. RNAcentral's name for it is "partial 16S ribosomal RNA". It matches the Rfam family "Bacterial small subunit ribosomal RNA", at positions 523 to 777 of the family's 1533-position model. The record is from RNAcentral.
UAGCGGAGGAUCCAAGCGUUUAUUCCGGGAAUCAUUGGGUUUAAAGGGUCCGUAGGCGGCCUUAUAAAGUCAGGUGGUGAAACUCUCCCGGCUCAACCGGGAAAUUGCCAUUGAUACUGUAGGGCUUGAAUUAUUAGGAAGUAACUAAGAAUAUGUAGUGUAGCGGUGAAAUGCUUAGAGAUUACAUGGAAUACCAAUUGCGAAGGCAGGUUACUAACUAAUGGAAUUGACGCUGGAUGGACGGAAAGCGUGGGUAGCGAACAGGA